UGUUUAGGCGUAUCCCACACGUAAUUACCGGCCAACGUAUACUUUCGCGAUGAGAUAUUUGUCAGUGGGAUCGACAAAGAGUUUCGAUCUUGACAUUUCAAUGGCGUAUAUUCCGUAUUUUCAUCUUAUUCACGCGAAAAGGGGGAAGCGAUUGACGAUUAUUUAUUUAUCGAGCAGCCGGUGUAACAGUUAUACUAUCGGUAUAUACACGUGUUGAUUGCGAUUUUGUGUAAAAGAACAGUAUCUCAUGCUUUGAGGAAAGUAACAGAAGAAUUUGAUCCGUGUUAGAAAAAUAUCCUAUCGGAGGUCUUUAACCUUCUGGAUGCCUAUUUAAUUUGAAAAAAUUCUUCCACGAAUCAAAUUUUAUUUUUUCGUGUUAAUGCGUUUAAAAAUAAACUUAUAGAUUUUUGUUAACAGUUUUGAAAAGAGAAUAUUAUUUUCCAAAGCAUUUAGAAGUGUGUAUUAAUCUUGACAAAGAAGUUGAAUGAAGAAUUUCAAGGAUUAAUCUUUAACUAUUAUAUAUACUUCAAUUUAUGGACGUGACAUCAAAAUGACGUCGCUCAUAAUUAAUAUAUUGAACACGAAGACAAAUGUAUGUGCUAUUCAGCAGCCCCGUCUAUUCAGGAAGAAUGUGAUCGACAAAAUAGAACAUGGUGAAGUGAUUUUAAAAGAAGCAUACUUAAGUUCCUGUACAUUUAACAUACUUAACUAUUGACGUAAAAUUGCUCAAAAGUUAUUUGUUGCAAGAUAUUUUUAAAAUUAAAUUUACGGUUGGAUCUAUUAACACAUCUUUUGCUUGAAAAUUUUGUAAAAUUCUUUUAUUCAGAGGCAAGCAGAAUCUUCGAAAAUUAAUUUUAAAAUUUCUUUUUCUUCAUCAGUGUUAACCUUUUCGAGCAUAAAUUUACUAAAAUCAAAAAAAAAUAAUUAAAUUUUCCAAGUUCUUUUAUAAAAAUACUGAAUGAAAAAUAAUAUUGAGAACAAGUAACAUAUUACUUCAAAUUUUUCCCUAAUAUUUUACGUAACUAAAUUUUACAUGUUUCUGGUUAUAAUCUCUUAUUUUAUAAAUAGAAAUAUUUUUUGAAAUAUUGAAAUAUAUCGAGGAAAUAUAUUAUUUUUGACAAUAAAAAAAACUAAUGAUUAUAAAAAAACUAACGAAAAUGAACAUCGUUUAAAAUCGUCUUAAAAAAAAUAAACAAUAAAAUCAAAUUUCUAAUGAUUCACGGCACAUAAACCUUUCAACUCAACACCUGGCUAUUUCCCCGACGUUAAAAUCAUGCCACGUAAAGCCUCUUUUCUUUCCCAGGAAACAGAGCCAGUGUUCGUGUUAAUUCUCACGCGGUGCAAUCCUGGAACCGCCUAAUCCCACAAAAGAUCGACCCACUUAGCCGAACGACGCAUGAAUCGUUCUCAUGGUGCAGACCCAGUUUAUCACAUUUCGUGAAAAUUAGUGUGACCUGAUAUCGAAUUAACUAUACUUCAUCGAAGACACAAUAACUUCGAAUGGCCUAUAUUCGGUGAACGCCAGUUCCGGUCUCGUAUGGAAAGCAAUAGUACAUGUCGUUGACCGACACAGAUCUUUCAUCUAUACUCGUCAUGGCUGACGAUAAAAGAGCAUCCUUUAAAAGACAGGCAUAAUAUUCGUUCGAUAAAGAACAUGGUAGGAACAGAAGGAAUAAAGGGAAUAGAAAAAUGUCCUAUUGGCUCGUAUGUGGCUCGAUUCUUUUAUUGUUCCUCGAGUCGAUAAUUUUCUCGAUCCUCCUGAACCUGAAGAGGAAGGCAUCGAUCGACAACUAAGGAGGGACCGAUCGAGAACAAAUCCUUCUAAUAAUGGAAAAUGUCAUUCCGAUCAAUAGGUCUCUCAACUAUUUUAACAGCGAUUAAAUUCUUUGUUGAAUAAAUUACUGGGAAAAAAGAUAGAAAGUCAAUCGAUUUGGUUGCAUUUUGAAAGAGUUCUCACAGCAUAUUGCGUUUUCAGAUGUUUUUAUAUAUAUUUUGAGUCGAGAAUAGAUAAAAUUAAUUGGCCUAUUCGUUAUUCGUCUGUUAAGAGACAAUGCAACGUUUAAUUUAUAAAAUUUCUUAUAAACUAUUAAUUAUUAUCUAUUAAUGUAUUUUAAUAUUAUAAAUAAAGGAAGUUCCAA
Long non-coding RNA from Apis cerana (Asiatic honeybee), 2138 nucleotides. RefSeq lists it as uncharacterized. The record is from RefSeq and is a predicted model, not a curated record. NCBI's taxonomy places the organism in Eukaryota, Metazoa, Arthropoda, Insecta, Hymenoptera, Apidae.